This 253-nucleotide ribosomal RNA is filed under the name uncultured bacterium. RNAcentral describes it as "partial 16S ribosomal RNA". It matches the Rfam family "Bacterial small subunit ribosomal RNA", at positions 524 to 776 of the family's 1533-position model. The record is from RNAcentral.
UACGUAGGGUGCGAGCGUUAUUCGGAAUUACUGGGCGUAAAGCGUGCGCAGGCGGUGAUGUAAGACAGUUGUGAAAUCCCCGGGCUCAACCUGGGAACUGCAUCUGUGACUGCAUUGCUGGAGUGCGGCAGAGGGGGAUGGAAUUCCGCGUGUAGCAGUGAAAUGCGUAGAUAUGCGGAGGAACACCGAUGGCGAAGGCAAUCCCCUGGGCCUGCACUGACGCUCAUGCACGAAAGCGUGGGGAGCAAACAGG